GUGGGGAAUAUUGGACAAUGGGCGAAAGCCUGAUCCAGCCAUGCCGCGUGUGUGAAGAAGGUCUUCGGAUUGUAAAGCACUUUAAGUUGGGAGGAAGGGCAGUAAGUUAAUACCUUGCUGUUUUGACGUUACCGACAGAAUAAGCACCGGCUAACUUCGUGCCAGCAGCCGCGGUAAUACGAAGGGUGCAAGCGUUAAUCGGAAUUACUGGGCGUAAAGCGCGCGUAGGUGGUUUUGUAAGUUGGAGGUGAAAUCCCCGGGCUCAACCUGGGAACUGCCUCAAAAACUGCAUGGCUAGAGUACGGUAGAGGGUAGUGGAAUUUCCUGUGUAGCGGUGAAAUGCGUAGAUAUAGGAAGGAACACCAGUGGCGAAGGCGACUACCUGGACUGAUACUGACACUGAGGUGCGAAAGCGUGGGGAGCAAACAGGAUUAGAAACCCCGGUAGUCC
This 450-nucleotide ribosomal RNA is filed under the name uncultured bacterium. RNAcentral describes it as "partial 16S ribosomal RNA". It matches the Rfam family "Bacterial small subunit ribosomal RNA", at positions 354 to 796 of the family's 1533-position model. The record is from RNAcentral.